This 1029-nucleotide ribosomal RNA is filed under the name Triticum aestivum (bread wheat). RNAcentral's name for it is "partial small subunit ribosomal RNA". The record is from RNAcentral. Lineage: Eukaryota; Viridiplantae; Streptophyta; Magnoliopsida; Poales; Poaceae.
AUGGGGAGAACAUGUGUUUAUGUUCAUCAUGUGGAUAAAGAGGCCUUUUUGAAAGGCAAUGUUGAGCCGGACCCGGAUGAGCUUGACAUGGUGUUUGAGAGUAGUCCUAGCUAUGCGGAGCUCUUGGACCAAGUGAGGAAGGAUUUGAAUUGGAUGGAUCCAAGUGACGUUGUUGAGUUCGAGGGAAGGCAUAAUGUUGGUUUUGGAAUGCAGAUCCGUUGGAAGACAAUGCGUGUGAACUCCGAGCAACGUUGGGUUGCAUACAAGGAGACGGUUGCCGAAUCUCUAGACAAGGCUCUUGAGUUAUUUGCCUCCAAGAAGGUUGAGUCUACUUUGAAUUUGGACUUGAACCGGAACCCCUCCCCGUUGGUUGCUAGCACUCCCCCACCCAUUAACCAAGAUCAAAUGAGUGAACCUCAUUUCAUGCAACAAGAUUGGCCAACAUUGAGCCCGACUCCAAACAACCAAAAUGAAGCUUUUGAAGAGGAGAAUGAUGAGUACGAGGAGGAUAACAGCGAAGUUGAUCUCCAUGACAACAAUGUGGGUGAUCUCGACCAAUAUCAUGUGCAAGAGACAAUGGACCAAUCCAUCCCUUUUUCCCGUGCAUAUGCAUCGGACUCGGAUGACGAUGGUCCCGAUGAAGAAGUUGAUGAGGAGGGGUUCACGCCGAAGGAGGCCCAAGCAUUCAAGAAGGUAUUCGGGAAGGACCACAAGACACCAUUGUUCAAGGAUCUUAGUCUCGCGGAUGAAGCCGUUGUGGAUGGUGGCAAAUGCAUAUCUCUUGGAGCUAGGCCAAGUUCUCACCGUGAUUUGGAAGACGGCAAGAACGGGAUAUAUCCCGGUUGUGAGUUUGAAUCCUUCUUGGAAUUGAAGAUGUGGCUUGACAACUAUUCGGUUACACAUUAUCGUCCACAUAAAGUGGCCAACUCGGACGUCAAUGUGCGUUACGCGGUCAAAUGUGAAGUGCCAAGAUGUCCAUGGAUUGUGCGUGCGAGGCCAUGGAAAGGAGGUCCCACUUGGCGCAUGUGA